RNAcentral lists this ribosomal RNA (1403 nucleotides) under uncultured bacterium. RNAcentral describes it as "16S ribosomal RNA". It matches the Rfam family "Bacterial small subunit ribosomal RNA". The record is from RNAcentral.
AGAGUUUGAUCUGGCUCAGGAUGAACGCUAGCGACAGGCUUAACACAUGCAAGUCGAGGGGCAGCGGGGGUGAUGGCUUGCCAUCACCUGCCGGCGACCGGCGCACGGGUGAGUAACACGUAUGCAACCUGCCCGCCACAGGGGGAUAAGCGGAAGAAAUUCCGUCUAAUACCGCGUGACGCGGCGUCGGGGCAUCCCGGUGCCGCCAAAGGGAUUACCGGUGGCGGAUGGGCAUGCGGCGCAUUAGCUAGUCGGCGGGGUAACGGCCCACCGAGGCGACGAUGCGUAGGGGUUCUGAGAGGAAGGUCCCCCACACUGGUACUGAGACACGGACCAGACUCCUACGGGAGGCAGCAGUGAGGAAUAUUGGUCAAUGGGCGGGAGCCUGAACCAGCCAAGUCGCGUGAGGGAUGACGGUCCUACGGAUUGUAAACCUCUUUUGCCGGGGAGCAAGCGUGCGUUCGUCAACGCGCGUCGAGAGUACCCGGAGAAAAAGCAUCGGCUAACUCCGUGCCAGCAGCCGCGGUAAUACGGAGGAUGCGAGCGUUAUCCGGAUUUAUUGGGUUUAAAGGGUGCGUAGGCGGGAUGCCAAGUCAGCGGUAAAAAUGCGGUGCUCAACGCCGUCGAGCCGUUGAAACUGGCGUUCUUGAGUGGGCGAGAAGUAUGCGGAAUGCGUGGUGUAGCGGUGAAAUGCAUAGAUAUCACGCAGAACUCCGAUUGCGAAGGCAGCAUACCGGCGCCCUACUGACGCUGAGGCACGAAAGCGUGGGUAUCGAACAGGAUUAGAUACCCUGGUAGUCCACGCAGUAAACGAUGAAUGCGAACUGUCCGGUGAGAGAGAGCGCUGGGCGGUACAGCGAAAAGCGUUAAGCAUUCCACCUGGGGAGUACGCCGGCAACGGUGAAACUCAAAGGAAUUGACGGGGGCCCGCACAAGCGGAGGAACAUGUGGUUUAAUUCGAUGAUACGCGAGGAACCUUACCCGGGCUCAAACGCAGGAUGACGGGUCCCGAAAGGGGCCUUUCUUCGGACAUUCUGCGAGGUGCUGCAUGGUUGUCGUCAGCUCGUGCCGUGAGGUGUCGGCUUAAGUGCCAUAACGAGCGCAACCCCUGUCCACAGUUGCCAGCAGGUAAAGCUGGGGACUCUGUGGAGACUGCCGGCGCAAGCUGCGAGGAAGGCGGGGAUGACGUCAAAUCAGCACGGCCCUUACGUCCGGGGCGACACACGUGUUACAAUGGCAGGUACAGCGGGAUGCCACGGGGCGACCCGGCGCUGAACCCGAAAACCUGUCUCAGUUCGGAUUGGAGUCUGCAACCCGACUCCAUGAAGCUGGAUUCGCUAGUAAUCGCGCAUCAGCCACGGCGCGGUGAAUACGUUCCCGGGCCUUGCACACACCGCCCGUCA